RNAcentral lists this transfer RNA (67 nucleotides) under Marmota monax (woodchuck). Its description in RNAcentral is "tRNA.Ala". The record is from RNAcentral. Lineage: Eukaryota; Metazoa; Chordata; Mammalia; Rodentia; Sciuridae.
GGUUGUGGAUCAGUGGUAGAGUGCUUCCCUAGCAUGUGUGAGGCUCUGGGUUCGAUCCCUGGCACCA